This 493-nucleotide ribosomal RNA is filed under the name uncultured Sphingobacteriales bacterium. RNAcentral's name for it is "bacterial SSU rRNA". It matches the Rfam family "Bacterial small subunit ribosomal RNA", at positions 888 to 1382 of the family's 1533-position model. Lineage: Bacteria; Pseudomonadati; Bacteroidota; Sphingobacteriia; Sphingobacteriales. The record is from RNAcentral.
CCCGCUCAGAAACUCAAAGGAAUUGACGGGGGCCCGCACAAGCGGAGGAGCAUGUGGUUUAAUUCGAUGAUACGCGAGGAACCUUACCUGGGCUCGAACGUAAGAUGACUGUAGGUGAAAGCUUACAUCUCUUCGGAGCAUUUUACGAGGUGCUGCAUGGUUGUCGUCAGCUCGUGCCGUGAGGUGUCGGGUUAAGUCCCAUAACGAGCGCAACCCUACCUUUAGUUGCCAUCAGGUUAAGCUGGGGACUCUAAAGGAACUGCCUACGCAAGUAGUGAGGAAGGCGGGGAUGACGUCAAAUCAGCACGGCCCUUACGUCCAGGGCUACACACGUGCUACAAUGGCCGAUACAGAGGGCAGCUACCUGGUGACAGGAUGCAAAUCUCCAAAGUCGGUCUCAGUUCGGAUCGGAGUCUGCAACCCGACUCCGUGAAGCUGGAAUCGCUAGUAAUCGCGCAUCAGCCAUGGCGCGGUGAAUACGUUCCCGGGCCUU